GGUGAGUAACACGCUUUGCAACCUACCUCUAACUGGAGGAUAGCCCGAAGAAAUUCGGAUUAAUAUUCCAUAAAGUCAAUUUAAGGCAUCUUUUAUUGAUUAAAGCUCCGGCGGUUAGAGAUGGGCAUGCGUGUCAUUAGCUAGUUGGUGAGGUAACGGCUCACCAAGGCCACGAUGACUAGGGGGUCUGAGAGGAUGAUCCCCCACACUGGUACUGAGACACGGACCAGACUCCUACGGGAGGCAGCAGUGAGGAAUAUUGGGCAAUGGACGCAAGUCUGACCCAGCCAUGCCGCGUGCAGGAUGACUGCCCUAUGGGUUGUAAACUGCUUUUGUUUGGGAAGAAACCCCCGAUCGUGAUCGGGGCUGACGGUACCAUACGAAUAAGCAUCGGCUAACUCCGUGCCAGCAGCCGCGGUAAUACGGAGGAUGCAAGCGUUAUCCGGAUUCAUUGGGUUUAAAGGGUGCGCAGGCGGAAUAUUAAGUCAGUGGUGAAAUCCUGCAGCUUAACUGUAGAACUGCCAUUGAUACUGAUAUUCUUGAAUAUAGUUGAGGUGGGCGGAAUGUGUAAUGUAGCGGUGAAAUGCUUAGAUAUUACACAGAACACCAAUUGCGAAGGCAGCUCACUAAACUAAUAUUGACGCUGAGGCACGAAAGCGUGGGUAGCAAACAGGAUUAGAUACCCUGGUAGUCCACGCUGUAAACUAUGAUCACUCGCUGUUGGCAAUACAUCGUCAGCGGCUGAGCGAAAGCAUUAAGUGAUCCACCUGGGGAGUACGGUCGCAAGAUUGAAACUCAAAGGAAUUGACGGGGGCCCGCACAAGCGGAGGAACAUGUGGUUUAAUUCGAUGAUACGCGAGGAACCUUACCUGGGCUUAAAUGCAGAGCGACGUCCGCCGAAAGGUGGAUUCCUUCGGGCGAUCUGCAAGGUGCUGCAUGGUUGUCGUCAGCUCGUGCCGUGAGGUGUCGGGUUAAGUCCCAUAACGAGCGCAACCCUUAUCGUUAGUUGCUAGCGGGUAAUGCCGGGGACUCUAACGAAACUGCCGGUGUAAACCGUGAGGAAGGUGGGGAUGACGUCAAAUCAGCACGGCCCUUAUGUCCAGGGCUACACACGUGUUACAAUGGUCGGUACAGAGGGCAGCUACCACGCGAGUGGAUGCUAUAUCUCGAAAACCGGUCUCAGUU
This 1185-nucleotide ribosomal RNA is filed under the name uncultured organism. RNAcentral describes it as "bacterial SSU rRNA". It matches the Rfam family "Bacterial small subunit ribosomal RNA", at positions 105 to 1293 of the family's 1533-position model. The record is from RNAcentral.